AAGUCGUAACAAGGUCUCCGUUGGUGAACCAGCGGAGGGAUCAUUACCGAGUUUACACUCAUAACCCUUUGUGAACAUUAUAACUUGUUGCUUCGGCGGCUUCUUCGGGAGCCCGCCGGCGUUUCAGUAUCUCUGUUUGUACCCGACGAUACAUCUGAGUGUUCUUAGCGAACUAUAAAAACUUUUAACAACGGAUCUCUUGGUUCUA
Molecule: unclassified non-coding RNA, 208 nt
Filed under: Lectera colletotrichoides
Lineage: Eukaryota; Fungi; Ascomycota; Sordariomycetes; Glomerellales; Plectosphaerellaceae
Also listed under: 3 other names
Description: partial internal transcribed spacer region
Rfam family: Eukaryotic small subunit ribosomal RNA (bases 1-46)
Source: RNAcentral